RNAcentral lists this ribosomal RNA (253 nucleotides) under uncultured bacterium. RNAcentral describes it as "partial 16S ribosomal RNA". It matches the Rfam family "Bacterial small subunit ribosomal RNA", at positions 524 to 776 of the family's 1533-position model. The record is from RNAcentral.
UACAGAGGUCCCAGGCGUUGUUCGGAUUCACUGGGCGUCAAGGGUGCGUAGGCGGUCGGGUCAGUCUGAUGUGAAAUCUCACAGCUUAACUGUGAAACUGCAUUGGAUACUAUCCGGCUCGAGGAAUGGAGGGGAGACUGGAAUACUUGGUGUAGCAGUGAAAUGCGUAGAUAUCAGGAGGAACACCGGUGGCGAAGGCGGGUCUCUGGGCCGAUACUGACGCUGAGGAGCGAAAGCGUGGGGAGCGAACAGG